GGCGGACGGGUGUAGUAACACGUGGAUAACCUACCUAUAAGACUGGGAUAACUUCGGGAAACCGGAGCUAAUACCGGAUAAUAUUUUGAACCGCAUGGUUCAAAAGUGAAAGACGGUCUUGCUGUCACUUAUAGAUGGAUCCGCGCUGCAUUAGCUAGUUGGUAAGGUAACGGCUUACCAAGGCAACGAUGCAUAGCCGACCUGAGAGGGUGAUCGGCCACACUGGAACUGAGACACGGUCCAGACUCCUACGGGAGGCAGCAGUAGGGAAUCUUCCGCAAUGGGCGAAAGCCUGACGGAGCAACGCCGCGUGAGUGAUGAAGGUCUUCGGAUCGUAAAACUCUGUUAUUAGGGAAGAACAUAUGUGUAAGUAACUGUGCACAUCUUGACGGUACCUAAUCAGAAAGCCACGGCUAACUACGUGCCAGCAGCCGCGGUAAUACGUAGGUGGCAAGCGUUAUCCGGAAAUUAUUGGGCGUAAAGCGCGCGUAGGCGGUUUUUUAAGUCUGAUGUGAAAGCCCACGGCUCAACCGUGGAGGGUCAUUGGAAACUGGAAAACUUGAGUGCAGAAGAGGAAAGUGGAAUUCCAUGUGUAGCGGUGAAAUGCGCAGAGAUAUGGAGGAACACCAGUGGCGAAGGCGACUUUCUGGUCUGUAACUGACGCUGAUGUGCGAAAGCGUGGGGAUCAAACAGGAUUAGAUACCCUGGUAGUCCACGCCGUAAACGAUGAGUGCUAAGUGUUAGGGGGUUUCCGCCCCUUAGUGCUGCAGCUAACGCAUUAAGCACUCCGCCUGGGGAGUACGACCGCAAGGUUGAAACUCAAAGGAAUUGACGGGGACCCGCACAAGCGGUGGAGCAUGUGGUUUAAUUCGAAGCAACGCGAAGAACCUUACCAAAUCUUGACAUCCUUUGACAACUCUAGAGAUAGAGCCUUCCCCUUCGGGGGACAAAGUGACAGGUGGUGCAUGGUUGUCGUCAGCUCGUGUCGUGAGAUGUUGGGUUAAGUCCCGCAACGAGCGCAACCCUUAAGCUUAGUUGCCAUCAUUAAGUUGGGCACUCUAAGUUGACUGCCGGUGACAAACCGGAGGAAGGUGGGGAUGACGUCAAAUCAUCAUGCCCCUUAUGAUUUGGGCUACACACGUGCUACAAUGGACAAUACAAAGGGCAGCGAAACCGCGAGGUCAAGCAAAUCCCAUAAAGUUGUUCUCAGUUCGGAUUGU
RNAcentral lists this ribosomal RNA (1220 nucleotides) under Staphylococcus aureus. RNAcentral's name for it is "bacterial SSU rRNA". It matches the Rfam family "Bacterial small subunit ribosomal RNA", at positions 97 to 1301 of the family's 1533-position model. The record is from RNAcentral. Lineage: Bacteria; Bacillati; Bacillota; Bacilli; Caryophanales; Staphylococcaceae.